GACGAACGCUGGCGGCGUGCCUAAUACAUGCAAGUCGAACGCUGAAGGAGGAGCUUGCUCUUCUGGAUGAGUUGCGAACGGGUGAGUAACGCGUAGGUAACCUGCCUGGUAGCGGGGGAUAACUAUUGGAAACGAUAGCUAAUACCGCAUAACAGUAGAUGUUGCAUGACAUUUACUUGAAAGGUGCAAUUGCCUCACUAGCAGAUGGACCUGCGUUGUAUUAGCGAGGUGGGGGGGUAAAGGAUCACCAAGGCGACGAGACAUAGCAGACCUGAGAGGGGGGUUGGCCAGCCUGGGACGGUGACAGGGCACAGAGGCCUACGGGAGGGAGCAGGAGGCAAUCGUAGGCAAUGGACGGAAGACUGACCGAGAAAGGCCGAGGGAGGAAACAAGGGUGUCGGAUCGUAAAGCUCUGUUGUAAGAGAAGAACGAGCGUGAGAGUGGAAAGUUCACACUGUGACGGUAUCUUACAAGAAAGGAACGGCUAACUACGUG
RNAcentral lists this ribosomal RNA (495 nucleotides) under uncultured bacterium. RNAcentral's name for it is "partial 16S ribosomal RNA". It matches the Rfam family "Bacterial small subunit ribosomal RNA", at positions 28 to 507 of the family's 1533-position model. The record is from RNAcentral.